AAGUCGUAACAAGGUCUCCGUAGGUGAACCUGCGGAGGGAUCAUUAAACAAAUCAAAUCCACCAUUGGAAAGUAGUAAUAUUUAUUGUAAGUGUUAUUGCUUUCCAAGGUCAACAUAAAGAUCUUUUAAGGUAUUUAUGUUGCAAAUAUGAGUAAAACGUUUUAAGUAGCAGUAAUCUUACGAUUCCUACUACAUAAGACAGUUUGCUCUAGAAGAUAGUAAUGCAAUUACUAACGUAAUAGCAUUAGUAUCUUUGAAAUACACGAUAUUAAAAUUGACAUAAUAAUGACAAAUUAAAUAAUCAACUUUUAACAAUGGAUCUCUUGGCUCUUAC
RNAcentral lists this unclassified non-coding RNA (334 nucleotides) under fungal sp. RNAcentral's name for it is "partial internal transcribed spacer region". The stretch from base 1 to 46 matches the Rfam family "Eukaryotic small subunit ribosomal RNA", at positions 1786 to 1831 of the family's 1831-position model. The record is from RNAcentral. Lineage: Eukaryota; Fungi.